This 2434-nucleotide ribosomal RNA is filed under the name Escherichia coli. RNAcentral's name for it is "partial 23S ribosomal RNA". It matches the Rfam family "Bacterial large subunit ribosomal RNA", at positions 375 to 2797 of the family's 2925-position model. The record is from RNAcentral. Lineage: Bacteria; Pseudomonadati; Pseudomonadota; Gammaproteobacteria; Enterobacterales; Enterobacteriaceae.
GUACACAAAAAUACACAUAUUGUGAGCUCGAUGAGUAGGGCGGGACACGUGGUAUCCUGUCUGAAUAUGGGGGGACCAUCCUCCAAGGCUAAAUACUCCUGACUGACCGAUAGUGAACCAGUACCGUGAGGGAAAGGCGAAAAGAACCCCGGCGAGGGGAGUGAAAAAGAACCUGAAACCGUGUACGUACAAGCAGUGGGAGCCUCUUUAUGGGGUGACUGCGUACCUUUUGUAUAAUGGGUCAGCGACUUAUAUUCUGUAGCAAGGUUAACCGAAUAGGGGAGCCGAAGGGAAACCGAGUCUUAACUGGGCGUUAAGUUGCAGGGUAUAGACCCGAAACCCGGUGAUCUAGCCAUGGGCAGGUUGAAGGUUGGGUAACACUAACUGGAGGACCGAACCGACUAAUGUUGAAAAAUUAGCGGAUGACUUGUGGCUGGGGGUGAAAGGCCAAUCAAACCGGGAGAUAGCUGGUUCUCCCCGAAAGCUAUUUAGGUAGCGCCUCGUGAAUUCAUCUCCGGGGGUAGAGCACUGUUUCGGCAAGGGGGUCAUCCCGACUUACCAACCCGAUGCAAACUGCGAAUACCGGAGAAUGUUAUCACGGGAGACACACGGCGGGUGCUAACGUCCGUCGUGAAGAGGGAAACAACCCAGACCGCCAGCUAAGGUCCCAAAGUCAUGGUUAAGUGGGAAACGAUGUGGGAAGGCCCAGACAGCCAGGAUGUUGGCUUAGAAGCAGCCAUCAUUUAAAGAAAGCGUAAUAGCUCACUGGUCGAGUCGGCCUGCGCGGAAGAUGUAACGGGGCUAAACCAUGCACCGAAGCUGCGGCAGCGACACUAUGUGUUGUUGGGUAGGGGAGCGUUCUGUAAGCCUGUGAAGGUGGCCUGUGAGGGUUGCUGGAGGUAUCAGAAGUGCGAAUGCUGACAUAAGUAACGAUAAAGCGGGUGAAAAGCCCGCUCGCCGGAAGACCAAGGGUUCCUGUCCAACGUUAAUCGGGGCAGGGUGAGUCGACCCCUAAGGCGAGGCCGAAAGGCGUAGUCGAUGGGAAACAGGUUAAUAUUCCUGUACUUGGUGUUACUGCGAAGGGGGGACGGAGAAGGCUAUGUUGGCCGGGCGACGGUUGUCCCGGUUUAAGCGUGUAGGCUGGUUUUCCAGGCAAAUCCGGAAAACCAAGGCUGAGGCGUGAUGACGAGGCACUACGGUGCUGAAGCGACAAAUGCCCUGCUUCCAGGAAAAGCCUCUAAGCAUCAGGUAACAUCAAAUCGUACCCCAAACCGACACAGGUGGUCAGGUAGAGAAUACCAAGGCGCUUGAGAGAACUCGGGUGAAGGAACUAGGCAAAAUGGUGCCGUAACUUCGGGAGAAGGCACGCUGAUAUGUAGGUGAAGCGACUUGCUCGUGGAGCUGAAAUCAGUCGAAGAUACCAGCUGGCUGCAACUGUUUAUUAAAAACACAGCACUGUGCAAACACGAAAGUGGACGUAUACGGUGUGACGCCUGCCCGGUGCCGGAAGGUUAAUUGAUGGGGUUAGCGGUAACGCGAAGCUCUUGAUCGAAGCCCCGGUAAACGGCGGCCGUAACUAUAACGGUCCUAAGGUAGCGAAAUUCCUUGUCGGGUAAGUUCCGACCUGCACGAAUGGCGUAAUGAUGGCCAGGCUGUCUCCACCCGAGACUCAGUGAAAUUGAACUCGCUGUGAAGAUGCAGUGUACCCGCGGCAAGACGGAAAGACCCCGUGAACCUUUACUAUAGCUUGACACUGAACAUUGAGCCUUGAUGUGUAGGAUAGGUGGGAGGCUUUGAAGUGUGGACGCCAGUCUGCAUGGAGCCGACCUUGAAAUACCACCCUUUAAUGUUUGAUGUUCUAACGUUGGCCCGUAAUCCGGGUUGCGGACAGUGUCUGGUGGGUAGUUUGACUGGGGCGGUCUCCUCCUAAAGAGUAACGGAGGAGCACGAAGGUUGGCUAAUCCUGGUCGGACAUCAGGAGGUUAGUGCAAUGGCAUAAGCCAGCUUGACUGCGAGCGUGACGGCGCGAGCAGGUGCGAAAGCAGGUCAUAGUGAUCCGGUGGUUCUGAAUGGAAGGGCCAUCGCUCAACGGAUAAAAGGUACUCCGGGGAUAACAGGCUGAUACCGCCCAAGAGUUCAUAUCGACGGCGGUGUUUGGCACCUCGAUGUCGGCUCAUCACAUCCUGGGGCUGAAGUAGGUCCCAAGGGUAUGGCUGUUCGCCAUUUAAAGUGGUACGCGAGCUGGGUUUAGAACGUCGUGAGACAGUUCGGUCCCUAUCUGCCGUGGGCGCUGGAGAACUGAGGGGGGCUGCUCCUAGUACGAGAGGACCGGAGUGGACGCAUCACUGGUGUUCGGGUUGUCAUGCCAAUGGCACUGCCCGGUAGCUAAAUGCGGAAGAGAUAAGUGCUGAAAGCAUCUAAGCACGAAACUUGC